RNAcentral lists this ribosomal RNA (419 nucleotides) under bacterium. Its description in RNAcentral is "partial 16S ribosomal RNA". It matches the Rfam family "Bacterial small subunit ribosomal RNA", at positions 355 to 776 of the family's 1533-position model. The record is from RNAcentral.
UGGGGGAUAUUGCACAAUGGGCGAAAGCCUGAUGCAGCGACGCCGCGUGGGGGAUGAAGGCCUUCGGGUUGUAAACUUCUUUUGCUCUGAACAAGGCAUGCUAAUGGGUGUGUUGAGUGUAGGGGUUGAUUAGCGCCGGCUAACUACGUGCCAGCAGCCGCGGUAAUACGUAGGGCGCGAGCGUUGUCCGGAAUUAUUGGGCGUAAAGGGCUUGUAGGUGGCUGGUUGCGUCUGUCGUGAAAGCUCAUGGCUUAACGGGAGGUUUGCGGUGGGUACGGGCUGGCUUGAGUGCAGUAGGGGAGGCUGGAAUUCCUGGUGUAGCGGUGGAAUGCGCAGAUAUCAGGAGGAAUACCGGUGGCGAAGGCGGGUCUCUGGGCUGUUACUGACACUGAGGAGCGAAAGCAUGGGGAGCGAACAGG